UACAGAGGUCCCAAGCGUUGUUCGGAUUCAUUGGGCGUAAAGGGUGCGUAGGCGGUGUGGUAAGUCGAAUGUGAAAUCUCGGAGCUUAACUCCGAAACUGCAUUCGAUACUGCCGUGCUUGAGGACUGGAGAGGAGACUGGAAUUUACGGUGUAGCGGUGAAAUGCGUAGAUAUCGUAAGGAAGACCAGUGGCGAAGGCGGGUCUCUGGACAGUUCCUGACGCUGAGGCACGAAGGUCAGGGGAGCAAACGGG
RNAcentral lists this ribosomal RNA (253 nucleotides) under uncultured bacterium. RNAcentral describes it as "partial 16S ribosomal RNA". It matches the Rfam family "Bacterial small subunit ribosomal RNA", at positions 524 to 776 of the family's 1533-position model. The record is from RNAcentral.